Molecule: non-coding RNA, 101 nt
Organism: Chiloscyllium plagiosum (whitespotted bambooshark)
Lineage: Eukaryota; Metazoa; Chordata; Chondrichthyes; Orectolobiformes; Hemiscylliidae
Source: RefSeq, a predicted model, not a curated record
UCUCUUUGAUUUCUGAUAACUGUGAGCUGCAUUACAAUAUGGUGCUUUGGCACACCUGAGUCUAUCUGUUGACUAUUAGAUUACUUACAGUCUAGCUUUUU